Molecule: non-coding RNA, 1096 nt
Organism: Malus domestica (apple)
Lineage: Eukaryota; Viridiplantae; Streptophyta; Magnoliopsida; Rosales; Rosaceae
Source: RefSeq, a predicted model, not a curated record
UUGCCUCUUCCCUUUUCUCUUUCUCCAAUUUUAACCCUUUUCUUCUUCUUCCUUGCGCUUAGAUCUACCUUCCAUUUUACUUCGUGAUCUCAAUUCCUGGAUAAUUUCGUGAAUUCGGUUAUUCGAUCUGGAUCUGAAAAGUGAAAUUUGAAUACCUUGUUUUUUCCUUCUUUUUUGGUAGGGAAGAAAAUGAAGAAAUGUUAUUUUGAAUUUUGAAUAAAAAUUUGAAAUUUGAAAUUUUUUGCCUCAUUCACUUCAAAUUCAGUAGUGCCAAAAAAAAAAAAAUGGAUUUGGGCAACAUUUAUUUAACUUGUUCUUUAAAAUGAAAGCAAAAAAGAACAAGUCCAGUCAAUUUAGAUGAGGCUUUGUUGUUGUUGUAGAAAUGUUUCCAUCCCCGGUUUAAGCAAUGGCAUCCUUUUACAUUUUGUUGCCCCUCCCAUUCUUUAAUAGUGAUAUUUAUUCCUUUUGCAUCUUUUCGAUAAUACAUUUACUUAAUAGUCUGCAUAUUCUUAUGAUUUACUGCCUACCUCCCUGCCUUGAAGGGCACAUGACUAUGUUGCAUGGAUACGGGAUAUAUAUUCGAUGUGUUCAUAUUUCAUUGUUUAAGUUAAAUCACAAAAGAGUGAAACAUUCAUGUUUAUCUUUUAACAGUAACAAAAUAGAACACUGCUUAGUCUUUGUGAUUCUUGAGAUUGGGAGUCUUUGUGAUUCUUGAGAUUGGUCCUCCCCUCUCCCAGGACCGGAAUGAUUUUCCUUGCCCGAUGGGGCUACAUCCAUCUCUUAAUGACCUGGUGGCUUCUUCGACGGAGCUAGGCAGGGCUAGGCGAGGAUCUGUGGAGAGCUAUACUGGAAUCUGGAAUUUUUUAGAUGCAGACUGAUCGGCUCAUUCCAAGAAGAAGAUGGCUUGUAUGCAGAGUGUCGUUUUGGCAAAUUUGUCCGUUGCUGUUUGAGUUUUUUAUUCAAUCUUUUUGUUCUAAGUGCCCACUAUCUAGUUUCUUUUUUUUUAAUUAUUCACUUUUCAUUUUUAUUAUUAUUUUGUCUCUUUUAAGACCCCACUGUCUCACCAAUAAUAUCUAUAUUUUUCUCAUUUUGUUUU